GGACGAACGCUGGCGGCGUGCUUAACACAUGCAAGUCGAACGGAAAGGCCCUGCUUUUGUGGGGUGCUCGAGUGGCGAACGGGUGAGUAACACGGGAGUAACCUGCCCUUGACUUUGGGAUAACUUCAGGAAACUGGGGCUAAUACCGGAUAGGAGCUCCUGCUGAAUGGUGGGGGGUGGAAAGUUUCGGAGGUUGGGGAUGGACUCGCGGCUUAUCAGCUUGUUGGUGGGGUAGUGGCUUACCAAGGCUUUGACGGGUAGCCGGCCUGAGAGGGUGACCGGCCACAUUGGGACUGAGAUACGGCCCAGACUCCUACGGGAGGCAGCAGUGGGGAAUAUUGCACAAUGGGCGGAAGCCUGAUGCAGCAACGCCGCGUGCGGGAUGACGGCCUUCGGGUUGUAAACCGCUUUCGCCUGUGACGAAGCGUGAGUGGCGGUAAUGGGUAAAGAAGCACCGGCUAACUACGUG
This 469-nucleotide ribosomal RNA is filed under the name uncultured bacterium. RNAcentral describes it as "partial 16S ribosomal RNA". It matches the Rfam family "Bacterial small subunit ribosomal RNA", at positions 27 to 507 of the family's 1533-position model. The record is from RNAcentral.